Molecule: ribosomal RNA, 845 nt
Filed under: uncultured bacterium
Lineage: Bacteria
Description: bacterial SSU rRNA
Rfam family: Bacterial small subunit ribosomal RNA
Source: RNAcentral
AGAGUUUGAUCAUGGCUCAGAUUGAACGCUGGCGGCAGGCCUAACACAUGCAAGUCGAGCGGUAGAGAGAAGCUUGCUUCUCUUGAGAGCGGCGGACGGGUGAGUAAUGCCUAGGAAUCUGCCUAGUGGUGGGGGAUAACGUUCGGAAACGGACGCUAAUACCGCAUACGUCCUACGGGAGAAAGCGGGGGAUCUUCGGACCUCGCGCCAUUAGAUGAGCCUAGGUCGGAUUAGCUAAUUGGUGAGGUAAUGGCUCACCAAGGCGACGAUCCGUAACUGGUCUGAGAGGAUGAUCAGUCACACUGGAACUGAGACACGGUCCAGACUCCUACGGGAGGCAGCAGUGGGGAAUAUUGGACAAUGGGCGAAAGCCUGAUCCAGCCAUGCCGCGUGCAGGAUGAAGGCCUUCGGGUUGUAAACUGCUUUUGUACGGAACGAAAAGACUCUGGUUAAUACCUGGGGUUCAUGACGGUACCGUAAGAAUAAGCACCGGCUAACUACGUGCCAGCAGCCGCGGUAAUACGUAGGGUGCAAGCGUUAAUCGGAAUUACUGGGCGUAAAGCGUGCGCAGGCGGUUAUAUAAGACAGAUGUGAAAUCCCCGGGCUCAACCUGGGAACUGCAUUUGUGACUGUAUAGCUAGAGUACGGCAGAGGGGGAUGGAAUUCCGCGUGUAGCAGUGAAAUGCGUAGAUAUGCGGAGGAACACCGAUGGCGAAGCAAUCCCCUGGGCCUGUACUGACGCUCAUGCACGAAAGCGUGGGGAGCAAACAGGAUUAGAUACCCUGGUAGUCCACGCCCUAAACGAUGUCAACUGGUUGUUGGGUCUUCACUGACUCAGUAACGAA